GCUAGUGUGGGUAAGCUCUACAUCAUAGAGCUAGAAGUUUGUGGGGCGAUGCUAAACGGUUUCCCAAACGCACCGAGAAAACAAUUCUUUGCCCAACGACAUACAUAAACACACACUUACCUAAUGCAGUUUACAUCAAAAUUUCAACCUGGUGGUUGAAAACUUCCUCUAUUCUCCGGUAACAGCUUCCGUUUCAGCUCUAGAACUUUCUCUCUUUCUAAAAAACGGGAGAGCAUGUGCUUUUCCGUAAUUAAAACUACAUUUCAACUACAACUCUACGCAAACGUGAAAUUCGCCGCCAUUGAGGUUUUGGGUUCGUUGAGUUUCGUCUGCUGCGGAAACAGGUGGAAAUUUCAAUAAAAUAUGGCGCCGAAAGUGGACCUGGUGUAAGUGUGGGAGGCGUGUGGUGCACCGUAACGAAUCGAUUUCCGCAUUAAUCUGGGUUUUCGGGAGCGCCGUGCUCCGUGGCAGAAGCGUAGUGGAUUUGAAUAGUACGUGAGCAUAAGGAAAUGUGUGUGUAACAGGCAAAAGGUUAUGUUAACAUCCUUUCCUUUACCGUAAAGCCUGCCCCCGUCGGAUCUCUGAAUGUGGCUCCCCGGGCUCCCAAGUGUGACAAAGGUGGUGAGCCUGGCAAAGCAUAAUAUUCAACACGGACCUGUCAAAUCCCAUUGAUUUACGUGCCCCAUCCCAACGAGCAUGGGUUUAUUAAAAACUGUCUGGAAAGAAAAGCGGCGCAUCCAACUUCAAAACGAACAGAAAAAACUGGACCAUGUUUAUCGGAAAACCGUUCUUUUCUCGUGAAUUUUAAGAUGGAAAAGUUGUCCAUAAGGCAACGGACAACUUGUUUGUUACUGAAUAUUUUGUUGAAAUUGUAUGUAACAUACUGUUUGUCAGGCGGUCCCGUGGUAUAGUCGUCAACUCGAACGACUCAAUAACAUGCCCGUCAUGGGUUCAAGCCUGAAAUGAACCAUCACUCCGUUGCAAGGAUUUGUGACUAGCUGGCUUGCGUGGUAAUGAAUUAUGUCUCGAAAGCCUGUAUAAGCCAGGCAUGUUCGCGAAGGACGUUAUACCAAAUAGAAGAAGAAGACUGUUUGUUAGGCAAAUAGGAUUUGUAUCAUUUUUGUAAAACAUAUUUGAAAACCGCUUUAGUACUGCAACUGUGGGAGAUUGGAAAAGGGAUAGCUACAAAAAAAGGAAGCACAAAAGUCACUACCACCAAAAACCGUGACAUAGGACACACAAACAUCACCGUAGGAAACCAUGGAAAUGAGAGUCCGUACCGCCCGUGCCUGCCCGGAAGAGUGCACACGAUUUGCCACUCAUUUUAUCGCUGAUUCCCUGCCCAAAAUAGAAAAAAAUACAGCUUCCCGCGCCUUUCACGACA
Molecule: long non-coding RNA, 1384 nt
Organism: Anopheles arabiensis
Lineage: Eukaryota; Metazoa; Arthropoda; Insecta; Diptera; Culicidae
Exons: 4
Source: RefSeq, a predicted model, not a curated record